RNAcentral lists this long non-coding RNA (14988 nucleotides) under Lynx pardinus (Iberian lynx). The stretch from base 5610 to 5661 matches the Rfam family "mir-1302 microRNA precursor family". The record is from RNAcentral. Lineage: Eukaryota; Metazoa; Chordata; Mammalia; Carnivora; Felidae.
GAGCCGCGACCACAGACAGCGAGGCGGAGCGAGCAUGGCGGGGGCCCCGGCCGCUCUGCUGCCCCUCGUCCUCCAGCUCACGAGCGUGGCCGUGGCCUCCGCGACGGACGGAGGUAAGUCGGGGCGCUGAGGGCCUGGGGGCGGCCGGGAAGGACCCCAUUUCUUACUCAGCCCAGCCUGAGGGAAGGAGCUGGCGCCAGGCUGCCUCUCCCGACCCCCAGCCUCGGGGUGCGGGCGCCUCUCGGGCGGCCUCGGUCCUCCCCGUCGGUGGAGGAGCCAGCAAGGGGGCGCGGCCCCGAGGUUGAGGCCCCGGGCCCAGAGGAGGGGGGGGGGGCUCCCUGCAAUGGCUGGAGAGGAAUUCCUGCAGGCAGCGGUGGGGGAGAGGCUGCCCUGGAAUCUGGGAGUCUGAAGUUAAUUAUUUGUCUUGAGAAAGGGGGAAAAAAGGAGGCCCACUAUGGGAGCCGACUUUGAGGCUGUGUCUGGCCUUCUCCUAGGAGGGCAGGCAGGAAAAGAGGGGUCAGUGCAAGCACUUGGCAGCCGGCUGGGGAGAGGGGAGCCGAGGACAAUUCCAUGGGGAGCAAUCAGGCUCCGUGAAACAAUCAGGAGCUCUUUCUGCUGGUCUCUCCAGGCAAGGGACUGGUCCUGUCUUCCCUGCCGGAGACCCCCCAGCCUCUCCCUGCCUCCCUUAGUGUGACUGCUUAAAUAGGUCUGGAGGAGGGGUCAUGGGGUGGGGGUGUCAAGCCGGGGCGGGAAGGGGGGCGGUUGACGGUACUGAUCAUCUGCAACUGCCCUUCAGGGCGCCAAGAAGAAUGCUAGAUACUGGAGCCAUACCAAGGGAGCACAGUUCCAGGUGACAGGAUACCCGGCAAGGGAGGGGGAUGGGAACGUGCACAAGAGGUUUGGGAGCUGGCGUUUGUUGGGGCGUUAGACCCCGAAGGUGGGGAAGAGCAGGGCACGGAGGCAUUUGCAAAAGGUCACCUUUGGACUUGCUGCUGGUAACCUUCAGAUGUGUGACUUAGAGAGGUGGGUGCCAGAGAGGAGGAGCAGGUGGAGGCGGGAGGUGGGCUUUGGCUUCAGCCUCCUGAGUGGAAAGAGGGGAGAGAAGAGGGAGGAGUGGGUUGGGGACACCUGGGCGAGACCAGAGGCUGGUGGGUUGGGGGGUACAAAACGGGGAAUCUGAGGCCCAGAUCUCUUAGUAGGCGGGGAUAGCAUUUCCCAAGCCAAGAAACUCAGGCCAAAGCAGGUUUGGAAGAAAGAAGACAACUUGGGUUUCAGAUUAGACUCUCCAACCCCCGCUUGGGGGUGUGGGGACAAGGGAGUGGGUGACACAGUCCCUUACCUCACAGGACUAGUGUCUUCGAGAAACCCAGGCCCGGCCUCAUUAAUGAGCUGCCUCUGAGGGAAAGACCCUCCUCUCUCCGUCCUCCUCUUCCUCCUCCAGCCCCUCCACUGCCCACCCCCCACCCGGAAGAGCGAUCUGGUCUGUGGGAUGUCAGUGGAGUCAGCCUAUCCCCGCCCCAUGGUUUUUACUUUCCUGACUGAAGGGGAGGGAUUAAAGUGAGGUGGAAAUGGCUGUCCAACCUCAGGCCUGAACUCAGAGAAACCCCCUUCUCUGACGCAGUGUCAUCAAAAAACCAGGGACAGGCUGUCUUUAUUCAGCCUGGUGCCUUGGGAGCUAGUGGGGGCCCUGCCAACUCCUUCCCCAAACCCUUCAAGAAAUGCAGCCCCCUCUGCCCAGUGUGGGGUCCUGUCUUCCAAACCAUGCAGGGGAGGAGGGUCACCCUGUGCCCCACCCCUGUCUACCUGCCCACUCCCCUGCCAGGGAAGGAGAAAUGGUCUGUGAGGGUGCUGGCCUGAAAGCGUGGAAGGAGGAGAAGGCAGCCCUGGGUGGACCAAAGUGACCCAGACCAGCUUUCCCGAGUAGCAAGAACCUCUGUCGGGUACAGAAUGCGGGCUCCCGAUGUGGGGGUCCCCAGGCCCCUCUACCACAGGCCUGGAAAUAGUGGCAAGGCUGGGCGCAGGGUGGGGGUGGAGCAGAGGGAGCAGUUGCCCCUCCCUGUGCACAUUCUCUGGAAGCAGUGCCCUUGCUGACGGGUGAGGACAGGCAGUUGGGGGGCCAGGGCUGCUCACACCAGACCCCGGGCCCCAUAAAGCAGCCCCACCUUUCACAUGUCCGUCUCCCUCUCCUGCCCUGCAGCCUGCACUGGCUUCUGGGCCCUCCCAGCCUGACUUGUCAGCUCCCGGGGCUAACCCUGGCCAAGACCCUGACCCAUGUCAAGAUGGAUGACCCUGACACGCUCCCCGUGGCUGGGGACCCCUGCAGCAUCAGGGAGGCUACAGGGAGGCCCCGGUCUAGACACUCCCUGUCGUAUCCCCAGCAGGUCAGGGACCCUGGGGCUGAUAUCUGACCGAGGUUCUUGCUACUUGGGAAAGCUGGUCUGGGUCACUUUUGUUCACCUUCUCCCUUCUCCUUCCACGCUUCCAUGCCAGCACCCUCAGAGACCAUAUCUCCUUCUCUGGAAGGUAGGUGGGCAGAUGGACAGGGGUGGGCCACGGGGCAACCCCUCCUUCCCUGCAUGGUUUGUAAGACAGGACCCAGGAAACCUUGCUAGGAAACCUUUCACCCACAGGCCCACCUUGGAUUCUUGUACUCUUCAGGUGGGGUCAUCCUCCCAGAGCCCCCUGGGCUUGCUGACAUCCAGGACUACCAGCAGCAGGCACCAGCCCGCUCCUCAUCCCAUGCUGGGGCCCCACAGGAGCAGUGGCGCCCCCUGGAGGAGCGACUGGAAAGGCUGGAGGCCCAGAUGAUGGAACUCAGAGAGAAGGUAGUGCUGGAGGCCGGAGGGCUUGUGGGGGGUGGGGGGUGGGGGGGGUAGGGCAGGUCUUGUGUAGUGAGAGGAAGGAAGGAUUGGACUUGGGGGAGGGAGCCCGGGAACUCUAAAACAGAGUUUUAUUUUAUUAGUUUUUUAAUGCCAGCUUUUUGCUUUUAUUAUUUAUUUAUUUAUUUAUUUAUUUAUUUAUUUAUUUUUUUUUUUUUUUUAAUUUUAGAGGAAGAGCACGAGCGGGGGACAGGGGCAGAGGGAGUGAGAGAGAAUCUUAAGCAGGCUCCAUGCUCGGUGUGGAGUCUGACUCGAGGCUUGAUCCCACGACCCUGGGAUCCUGACCUGAGCCAAAAUCAAGAGUCUAACGCUUAACCGACUGAGCCAUCCAGGCACCCCGAGUUUUAUUUUAAACGCACAUGGAGAAAUUCUUAUAUGAACAGCUCUUCACAUCGAUUCUCUCAUAUAAACGAAGAGCCUCCGGAGUAUUUGUUUUUUCCAUCUAGACUUUCGUAUUUUCAUGUGUUUGACAAAUAUUAUGGAGGACCUACGAUACAUAAGGCAUCAUCAGGAAAGAUUUUGGAUGGGUAAAGGACUUAAACUGUUAGAGAGAGGGGAUCGGGUCCCCUUCUUUCCAAAGGAGAGGUCUGGGCGCGCCAUGUCCCUCUGGGAGUCUGUCCAGACUCUAGGUCCUGAGAACCUGUGUCUAAACUGGACGCUGUGUGGAGGGCACCCACCUCUCCCCUGGAACUGUCAGAUUUCCUUCUCGUCCUGCUUGGUCUUCACACCCUACAAAUCUGCGGGAUGUGUUGGGUAGCGGGGAGCUGAGCCAGUGCCCCCCACUUUCCCCUCUCCCUCUUUCCCCAGAACAAAGAGCUGCAGGCGAGGGUGAGGCAGCUGGAGUCCUGUGAAUGCCGCCCAGCGUCUCCCCAGUGCUGGGGGCUGGGGCGGGCCUGGCCCGAGGGUGCUCGUUGGGAGCCUGACACCUGCACCGCCUGUGUCUGCCAGGAUGGGACCGUGCACUGUGACCCCAAGCCCGACCUGCCCCACUGCCACGGUGAGUGCCACCCCGUCUGCCUGCCAGGACCACCUCGGCACCUAGAGAUGGCCGCGAGUGCCUGAGUGACAGCACUAUCUUCUCCCCAGGCUGCAGCCACAAUGGUCAGACCUAUGGCAACGGGGAGACCUUCUCCCCGGACGCUUGCACCACCUGUCACUGCUUGGUGAGUUCCCGCGACCCACCUGGAUAUCCCAUACUUGGCCCCCUCACCUGCUUCACUUAAGCUACCAGCCACUGCGACCCGGUGUGCUCAAUGUCAUGUAAUGGGGUCUGCCUGCCCCUCCCCCAAAGUUUUGGCCGCCAGUGGCUCCGGCUGAUUCCAAGUGGCUAUAUUUUCUGGGGCUUAACCCCCCCCCCCACCACACGCACAUGGCGGGGGCCCCCAAACCUCUCUGAUUUGGGCCUGGCAAACAGUGGCAUGGAGGGCAGAGAGGAUGGAGUUGCUUGUCUUCCUACAUGCCCCCUCUCCUGUGGACCCUCUCUGUCCCUGCCCAUCCACCUGUCCCUGUCAUCUACCUGCCUAUUCCCCCUCACUCGGCUCACAUCCACAUUCUUCCAGCCUUUCCUUCCUCGCUCCUCCGUUGAGGAAGUUUUCAGUUCCCUUCCUAGGAUCUCUCCACUCUGGGAACUUGCUGGCACCUGGAAGAGAUGCUUUCUGGGGGCCAAGAGCAGUAGGAGAUGAUGGGAGUGGGGGUAGGGUGUCUCUUUCCUGCCCUCAGACCGAAGGUAACCCAUGUACCCUGAGCUGCUUCAACUUCUUGCUCCUCUGGUGUGUCACAGCCUGGGGUGAGGUUUCAGUUCUGGAGGCCAGGUCCUCGGGGUUCUGAUGGCUGGGCAGCCACUAGUCUGCUUCCCCACAGGAGGGAACCAUAACGUGUACCCAGAAGCCAUGCCCAAGAGGACCCUGUCCGGAGCCAGGAACAUGCUGUCCUCACUGUGAGCCAGGUCAGCCUCCUGCCAGCCUCGCCUCCUGCACUCAUUCUGGGGCCCCCAGAGCCAUCGUCUGCCCCCUGCCCCCUGCCCCCUGCCACAUGCCCAGAGAGUGCCUGCCCACCCACUCUGGCAGUAGUUAGGGAAUUCAGAACGGAAGCACAGCCAGCAAAUACUCACUCCGGCCUGGGACCGAUCCAAAAGCUCUGUAUGAUCCUUUUCCUGCCCCCAGGGAGCUUCUAAUCUAGUUGAGAAAAUAAACAGCCAACAUAACACAAGAUUUAAGAUCCAAUGAAUAGAGUAAGAGAACGUAAAGAAGGGCAGUAUGUGGUUAGCUGCCGGAGGCUCAGUGGUAACAGACUGCUGUAAGCCUUGCAUUUUGGACUUUCUUCUGUGGGCAAUGGGGAGCCGUUGAAGGCUGCAGAGCCCGAGUGUGGCUUGUUCAAAGGAGUGUUUUAGGACUAACCAUCUGGUAUGGACUGGAUGCAGACAGAACCAGUUAGCGGGCUAGUACAGUGGUUGUCUAGGCAUGGAGCCAGGGAUAGCAGUGGCUGCAGAGGGCGGGGUGUUUCUAAAACAAUGGGCAGGAGCUGGUGGGUUAGACCCCACGCAAUAGUGGGGAACUAGGAAGGCAGUGGUGCCAGUGACAUGAAGGGAACUGGGCGGAAGUGGAGGCAGGAGGCAGUGCCUCUGCUGGGGGAUGUUACUAGCUCCGAGUCAGGGAGAUGGGGUUGCCUGAUUUACCCCCCAAAAUACAGGAUGCCUUGUUAGAUUUGAGUUUCACAUAAACAACACAUACUUUUUUGGUGUAAGUCUGUCUCAUGCAAUAUUUGGGACAUACUUAUACUAAAAAAAAUAUGGAUCGUCUACGUCGAAUUCAAAUUCGACCCGGCAUCCUGUACUUUAUGUGGCAGAAUAUCAGCUGAUGGGGCACAGGGUGGGUCAGAGGCUCAGGAGACCAGCGAGGUCUGGAAAUGUACACUGGGAGUCUUGGCCAGAGAUGAGGAGUGGAGUCUUGGGAGUUGAUGGAUCCCAAAGAAAAGGGACACACACAUUCUCUCUCUCUCUCUCUCUCUCUCUCUCUCUCUCUCACACACACACACACACACACACACACACAUGCACACAGAUUUCAGGACACGUGGUGCCUCAAGGCCACUGCUAGCUCAUAUGAUAUCUUCCGUGAAAUUUUUUAAAAAGCACCCUUUCCUCAACACUUGCAUCUAUUGUAAAAUAGUGGAAAUCUGAUUAUGCUUGAGUCAGACGCUUUACUGCCAUCUGCUGGAAAGUUGUAGUAAAUACAAAAAUCUGUCUCCUGAAUGGCGCUCUUUUUUUUUUUUUUUUAAUUUAUUUCUGAGACAGAGAGAGACAGAGCAUGAAUGGGGGAGGGGCAGAGAGAGAGGGAGACACAGAAUCGGAAACAGGCUCCAGGCUCUUAGCCAUCAGCCCAGAGCCCGACGUGGGGCUGGAACUCACGGACCGCGAGAUGGUGACCUGAGCUGAUGUCGGAUGCUUCACCGACUGAGCCACCCAGGCGCCCCCUGAACGGUGCCCUUUGAUGUGGUUCCCUUGUGGGUGCUUUGGUUCCGGUACCCUGGGUCUCUUACUCGGGGGCCUGGCCCUGGUUUUUCAGGCUGCCCUGGAGGCCACAGGGAUGGGGAAACAUGGCAACCAGAGCCCUGUGUCAUCUGCACCUGCCAGGUAAGGGAAUCAGAGCCUAGUCCCGGCCGCCACGCACAUCCCUCGGCAUGCCGAGCCCAAUCUGGGGGCCAGACAGAGCUGCUGCUGCCACCCAGGCCUCGAGGCCUGCAUCCUGCUAGGCCCACCAGGCCUGCGGAGUAACUCAGCUCGGGCAGUGGAGAGGGAGGGAGGGCUCAGUGUCUGCCCUGCAGGCAGGGACCGUGCGGUGCCAGGGGCCCUCAUGUGCAGAGCUCAACUGCCUGGAGAGCUACACCCCACCUGGGGAGUGCUGCCCUGUCUGCCGGCCAGGUGACCUCUCGCCCCACCCUGCCCCUCCAUCCCCUCAGCCCCGGAGGGUCCGGUACCUACUUGGGGUCAUGCCUUCCCUUGGGUGAUGUCCACUCGCCCUGCUCUCUGCUGACCCGCCUGUCAUCCUGACAACCCUCCCCAGGCUGUGAGUAUGAGGGGCGGCCUUAUGAAGAGGGGGCCAACUUCCUGUCCAGCACCGACCCUUGUCUCCAAUGCUCCUGCCUGGUGAGUCCCCACCCGCCUCGUUCAGGCCUUGCCCCUCCAUAUACUCUCCCUGCUCCCCCUUGGGUCACACCUGCUGGUUUUUCAUAUACCUCCCAAGACCUCCUGCCGGUGAGGCUCACCCUCCAUCGCGGUCCUGUGCCCCACCCCUCCAAGGAUGUCUGACGCUUGUCCACCCUGCCCUGUCUGGGAGCCAGACCGGGUGGCUUUACAGCGACUGGUGUAUUACAGAGGAGCCUGGUUCGCUGUGCGCCCAUCAAGUGUCCACCCAGCCCCUGCCCUGAGCCAGUCCUGAGGCCUGGCCACUGCUGCCCGACCUGCCAAGGUGAGAGCCCUGACCCUUCCCUGGUAGAGCUCCAGGUGGGGACGUCACAGCAUUUCUUCAGCUCCAGAGCCCAUUCUGCUGGCCCUGACCUGGGGGGUUGGUCAGUGGGGAAGCGAUGCCCGGCCAACGCUGCUCUGGAGCUGAGGUGCCUGGGCUCAAAUCCCGCCCUUGCCAUUUCGUGGCCGGGUACCUCUGAGGGAGUUACUCUGGGUCUCGAUUCCCCAUUUGUGAGGUGUGGAUAAUGCCAUUCUAUACCUUGAUAAAUGCUGAGCAUUUUCAUUUGCUAUGUGCACGGAAGACACAAGGGGGCCCCCCCCUCCAAGAAGACCACUAGAGGGUGACACUGAGUCACACACCAGCACUAUUAGAAGUCACACACCAGCAGUAUUAGAAGCAGGUGCCGGGCACUGUGGACACUCAGAGGAAGGAGACCUAAUCCAGCCUGGACACAGGAAGGAAAGCGUCCUGGAGGCGGCGCGUCCUGAGUGAACCUUCAGGAUAAAGAGCAGUUAGCUAGGGGAAGGGUGGAAUAAGGCAGAGGGCAUUCCAGGAAGAGAGGAGAGCUUGCACAAAGGCUCGGGACGGACAGUCAUGUGAGGUGGGUGUGUGGUAGGUGGGAAGGUGCAAAUGUACGCGAAUGGCCAAAGCUUACGGCGAGAGGUGAGGAGGGGCCAAGAGCUGGGGGGAGGUGGGCGUGGCCACACUGCGUCCCGGGAGGCCUUGCACUGGAAGCCCUCAGGAGUCUAGGCAGAGGCAUGGCCUGGUCUGGUCUGGGCUCAGGGCAUGUGAAAGAGGGUCGGGGCCGGCUGAAGCUGCUAUCCAGGCCGGCUCCUUCCAGGCUUCCUCUGUGUCCAUCUUUACCUCAACCCCAGGCUGCACGGAAGGUGGCUCUCGCUGGGAUCAUGGCCAAGAGUGGACUGCCCCUGGGGACCCCUGCCGGAUCUGCCGGUGCCUGGUGAGUCCCUCCUCUGCUCCCACACCCCUCACCCCGCCCCAUCCCCAGGCCAACCAUAUUCAUCCCUUCAUUUCACUGAGCACAUCCCCUAUGCACUGGGAGGGGACAGAGGUGGAGAAGACCUGAUCCUGGGCGCUAUGAGGGUGAGGAUGGGGCUGUGCCCAGCUGUAUGCCCAGUUCUGAGCAUCGUAGAUGUGCAGCGUGGGUUUGCGAAUGAACUCAAAGAGCUUGCAAGCUCCGGAAGUGAGGCAGGUCAGGAUAUGACAGGCAGCAACAGCUCGGGGGAGAGAGAAAUGCAGAUUACGUGGAGACAUCUAGAACUGCGCUGUCCCGUCUGUGGCCACCACCGCAUGUGGCCACUGAGCCCUUGAAAGUAGCUGUCCAGUUGGAGAUGGGCUGAAGUGCAAAAUGUGGGAUUUUAAAGACUUAGGACAAAAGAAAGGAAUAUAAAACAUCUCAUUGCUACUUUAUGUUGAAAUCACUUUUGGGGGGGCGCCUGAGUGGCUCCAUCGGUUAAGUAACCGACGUCAGCUCAGGUCAUGAUUCCAUGGUUGGAGGUUCGUGAGUUCGAGCCCUGAGUUGGGCUCUGCAUGGACAAUGUGGAGCCUACUUUGGAUUCUCUGUCUCCCUUUCUCUCUGUCCCUCCCCUGCUGGUACUCUUUCAAAAAUAAAUAGGGGCACCUGGGUGGCUCAGUCGGUUAAGCAUCUGACUUUGGGUCUGGUCAUGAUCUCGUGGUCCGUGAGCUCGAGCCCCGCAUCGGGCUCUGUGCUGACAGCUUAGAGGCUGGAGCCUGCUUCGGAUUCUGUGUUUCCCUCUCUCCCUGCCCCUCCCCAAGUCAUGCUCUGUCUCUGUCUCUCCCUCUCUCUCUCUCAAGAAUAAACAUUAAAAUUUUUUUAAAUAAAUAAACAUUUUUUGAAGUUUUUUAAAAAAGAAAUAACUUUAGGAUAUAGUCAGUUGAAUGGAAUAUAUAUUAUUAUUUAGUUUCAUCUGUUCCUUUUUGAAAUUUGACUGCUAGAGUAAUUUAAUUUAUUUUAUUUUUUUGAGUGAGAGAGAGCAUGUGUGUGCAAGCAGGGGAGAAGCAGAGAGAGGGAGGGAGAGAAUCCCAAGCAGGCUCCGUACCCAGCACAGAGCCUGACACAGGGCUCGAUCUCACAACCAUGAGAUCAUGACCUGACCCAAAAUCAAGAGUUGGAUGCUUAACCCACUGAGCCACUCAGGCACCCUUACUAGAGAAUUUAAAAUGACUUACGACUUGUGUUAUGUUUCUACUGGGCAACACAGAUCUAGAAAAUCUUCAUGGAAGGGAUGGUGUUUACCUAGGUCUUAAAGGGUGAGUAGCGUUUAAGCAGGAAGAAAUGGGGGAAGACAUUCCAGGUGCUAUGAACUGAAUGUUUGUGUCUCCCCCAAGUUCAUAUGUUGAAAUCCUAACCCCAAGGUGAUCGUAUUUAGAGGUAGGGCCUUUGGGAGGUGCUUAGGUCAUGAGGGUGGAGCCCUCAUGAAUGGGAUUAGUGUCUUUGUAGAAGGGACCCCAAAGAGCUAGCUCCUCUCUUCAGCCACGUGAAAACAGUGAAAAAGCAGGUGUCUAGGAACCUGGAAGCCGGUCCUUUUCAGACACUGAAUCUCCUGGCACCUUGAUCUUGGACUUCCCAACUUCCAGAACUGGGAGAAGUAAAUUUCUGUUGUCUAUAAGCCCCCCAGCCUAUGGGAUUUCAUUACAGCAACCCAAGUGGACUAAGACACCAGGUGUAGGGAACAGUCAGGGCGAAGCCUGGGGGAAGAAGGUGGGGACGUGGAAACGUCAUGUCCAGGCAGGGAGCAUCCUGAGAAGGGUUGUGUUUCAAGCCAGAGCCAUACAGCUUCCUGACAGCCUACCAAGGUCUGAAGACUCCACUGCGAAGGCCAUGGGGCAUCCAUCCCCUUUGCAACCACGUGCCUCCCUUCCCUGUUCACAUGGACCACCCUCCCGACACCCGUGAGAAGAGUCACUGGCUGCCCACUUACGGGACUGGACAUAGUGAGCCCUGAUGUAGGUGGGAACUCAAAGGGCGGGGGUCUGUCCGGGAACAGCCGUGGCGAGUAGCAGCAGCUACUGUUUACUCGCCAGCUUCCAGAGGUGGCUGUCACACCGGACACCAUAUCUCAUUUCAUUCCCAUAACAAGGCUGUGAGGACAGGACUAUUACUGUCUUUGCCGAUGGGUAAACUGAGUCACAGAGAGCUUCAGUAACGCGCUGGGCACCAUAACAAAGUACCGCAAAGGGGUUUGGCUUAAACAACAGAAAUGUAUCAUCUCGUGGUUCAGGAGGUCAGAAGUCCAAGGUCAAGGUGUCCUUCCGAGGGCUGUAAGAGGGAAUCUGUUCCAGGCCUCUCUCCUGGCUUUUGGUGGUUUGCUGGCAAUCCUUGGUAUCCCUUGGCUUCUGCCUUGAUCUUCACAUGUUGCUCUCCCUGUGUGUGUCUGUGUUCAAAUUUCCCCUUUUUUAAGGACGCAGUUUUUGGAGGGGCCACCCCACUCCAGUAUGACCUCAGCUUAACUAAUUAUAUAUGGAGUGACCCUAUUUCCAAAUACGUCGUGUUCUGGGGUGCGAGGGGUUAGGACUUCAACAUAUGAAUUUGGAGGGGGGCACAGCUCAACUCAUAACAACAUCUAGUAAGCGCAUCGUGGGAACUCGACUGCCAUUUCUGCCACUUGACGGAGCUCUAAUGGCCCCUUCCCCUGCCCGCUGUGCCCCCUCCCAGGAGGGCCACAUUCAGUGCCGCCAGCGAGAAUGCUCCAGCCUGUGCCCGUACCCUGCCCGGCCUCGUCCAGGCACCUGCUGCCCGCUGUGCGAUGGUGAGUCAGUGGGUGGAGUCUGGAGUGGGGGUCCAGAAAGCUCACCUGUGGCCCAGCUCAGUCUCCCAUGAAGGCCAGGACUUUAAGGCACCCUAUUCCCCAACAGGCUGUUUCCUAAAUGGGCGGGAGUACCGCAGCGGAGAGCCCGUGGGCUCUGGGGACCCCUGCUCGCGCUGCCACUGUGCCGUGAGUGUGGCUGGCCUGGCAGGGAGGGCCUGGCUUCUGGGCCUGCCUCUUGAAUGCUGAUCAGGCCCUGUUGGCAGAACGGGAGUGUCCAGUGUGAGCCUCUGCCCUGCCCGCCCGUGCCCUGCAGACACCCAGGCAGGAUCCCUGGCCAGUGCUGCCCAGUCUGUGAUGGUGAGCUGGGGACUCGAGUCACCGGGAGAGGGGCAAGCACUGGCCCAAGAGAGGCUCGGGAGGGGGGCGGGGUCGGGCGUUUAGACCUACAGGAAGCUCCCUUGAACUAAAGUGCAGGACAAGUCCUUGAUCGGCCUAGGCUCCCGUCACCACGGGUGAGGGUCACGUUCUCACCUUCUCAUGGCACACUGGGCACCAUGGCGGGGCCCUUGAUCCUGGAGGUAGGGGAGGCUGGCUCAUCAGGGUUGGGGGGGGUGGAUGCUUUGAGGUGACGUGAGGCUUCCCCAUCAGCCUCCAGCCCUGCCCCCGGUCCCCCUGUCCUCCUGACCAGGCUGUGAGUACCAGGGACACCAGUACCAGAGUGAGGAGACCUUCCGACUCCAAGAGAGGGGGCGCUGCAUCCGCUGCUCCUGCCAGGUAGCCAGUCGCGCCCUCUCACACCCCAGAUCUGUCUCACCCCUUGAGGACCUCUCACCCGGCAUCCUUCCUAGGCUGGCGAGGUGUCCUGUGAGGAGCAGGCGUGCCCGGUUGCCCCCUGCACCCUGCCUGACUCUGGCCCCCAGCUCUGCCCAGGUAUGUGUGGGGAGGGAGAGAAAGAGGAACAGCUUCAAAGGAGUGCUGCUCGCAGGCGCUGAAGACGGAGGGGUUCCUUCACAAUAAGGGGGGCACUGUCCGGUCCACCAGCCACUCCCAGCGUGGGGUCAGAGGCCACCGUAGGCCUGGCAGAGCCAGGGCCCUGUGGUCUGGGAAGGUCAGGGGUGGCAGCAGGUGUCUCGGUUGCCAUGGUGACAGCCCCCCUUGCGGCAGCCUGCGUGCUGGAUGGAGAGGAGUUUGCUGAGGGGGUCCAGUGGGAGCCUGAUGGUCAGCCCUGCACGGCCUGCUCCUGUCAUGAUGGCGUGCCCAUGUGUGGGGCUGUGCUCUGCUCCCCACCCCCCUGCCAGCACCCUACCCAGCUCCCCGGUGAGUGCCCCACCCUGAUCUGGCCUUCCCCCCUGCUUUGUCCAGCCGGCCCAGAUCAGCUGGGCUCUGAUCAGUCUGCCUCCCCCAGGUGCCUGCUGCCCCAGCUGUGAGAGCUGCACCUACCACGGCCAAGUGUAUGCCAAUGGGCGGAACUUCACGGACGCGGAUAGCCCUUGCCGCGCCUGCCGCUGCGAGGUACCACCCCAGGCUUGCUACUGCCCUGCUGAGCCCCUCCUGGAGCCCACCCCCAUUGCCCUCUCCCCUGCUCCCAGGCUGGGACUGUGAGGUGCUCCUUGGUUGACUGCCCUCCCACAACUUGUGCCAGGCCCCAGAGUGGACCCGACCAGUGCUGCCCCAGGUGCCCAGGUAUGUGCUUAUGACACUUGUCUGGCUUGGGGGCCCCGGAGCCAGCUCUCCCAUGGCCCCACGGGCUCAACAGAUACCCUAGCAAGCAACAGCCUUCUGAGUUGUUUUCAGACACAGCUUGGACUUUCUGGAACUCACAGGGUAUGGGUAGGAGGGAGAGUAGAGAGAUGUUUAUCCCUUCAUGUUCCUGUAUGUCCCUUCCCUCCUGUUCUGUAUUUCCUCCUCCAGUACCCUUACCGGUCAGAUAUAUUCCUGUGUCUAUAUAAAGCAGCUCCAUGCCACAAACGUUUGGGUCUGAUGUGCGGGAGACUGGGUGCUGGGAUGCAGUGUAACCUGGUCCCUGCCCCGCCCUCCUGGAGAGUCUGUACCAGAGCGUGUAUCACAAACACAGGCACGUUCAUGCACGAGCUCCUUGGCUGUUCACCCUCAGAGGCAUACACACAUGCAUCAGGUAAAUGGGCUCAAAUAUGCCUCCACAUGCGAGCGUGUGCUCGGAGAGAUACCCAUGCCUGCAUACACAGACCCUUCUUCCACUCUCUCUGUGGUGCUUCCUGCUGGCAUUUCCUCAGUGGCCCUGGACUCCAAGGAUAGAUGGGCUGUCAGCCCAUGCCUAGAACUGUCAGUCCUCGCCCCCACUCCUGCCCCUCUCCCUGCCCCAAUGCUCAGACUGCAUCCUGGAGGAACAAGUAUUUGUGGAUGGCGAGAGCUUCUCCCACCCCCGAGACCCCUGCCAGGAGUGCCGGUGUCAGGAAGGCCAUGCCCAUUGCCAGCCUCGGGCCUGCCCCAGGGCCCCUUGUGCCCAUCCACUGCCUGGCACCUGCUGCCAGAACGACUGCAAUGGUGAGGUGGAUGCCAUGGGGAAGGUGGGGGGGGGGCGGUCUCCUGGGAUGGCUUGGCCCCAUCUGUGGGCUUUUAGGGUCGGAAGGGCAGCCUCCCCGGGGAGGAAUGGGCCCCUCCCAGGCCUAUAGCUGCCCCCUCCCCCAGGCUGUGCCUUUGGCGGGAAAGAGUACCCUAACGGAGCAGACUUCCCCCACCCGUCUGAUCCCUGCCGUCAGUGUCGCUGUCUGGUGAGUCUGCCACCUGGGUGAGAGGAGGAGGCUAGGGGAGUAGGGGUGGGACUUGGGAGACCAGGAGAGGGCCCCCAAGGUGGCAGUCAGAGGGGUGGGGGUCUCCUCAGCCUCCCACCACUAACCGGCCUGGCGUGGGCCCUCUGUUGCAGAGCGGAAGCGUGCAGUGCCUCUCCCGCCGCUGCCCGCCGCUGCCCUGUCCAGAGCCGGUCCUGCUGCCCGGAGAGUGCUGCCCGCAGUGCCCCGGUAGGAUGCGCACACCCCUCGGGCAGAUCCGCAUGGGAGGGAGGGGCGAGCCUCCGCAGCCUCUCCUUGGAGCCCUGACUCGCGCACGCUCUCUGCAGCCACCUCCUCCGGCUGCCCGCGGCCAGGGGGCGGGGUCCCGGCCCGCCACCUAGAGUAUUUCUCCCAGCCCGACGACCCCUGCCGCCGCUGCCUCUGCCUCGAUGGCUCUGUGUCCUGCCAGCGGCUGCCCUGCCCGCCUGCUUCCUGCUCCCACCCGCGCCAAGGGCCCUGCUGCCCGUCCUGCGACGGUAACUGGCGCCCCCUCCCGGCCUAGGCAGCACCCCACCCCCACCUGCUCCCUCCAGCUCUGCCCCCAGCCUCACCCUACUCCGUCCCCUCUUAUGACAUGUCCCCCUUCCUCCAGCCCCUAACACUGCGCGACCCCAGUACCCCCCCUUCCUCCGGGCCCACCACUCCCACGUCGGGGUUCUCACUAAGAAUGUGGGGGGACACCGCCCUGUUGGCAGGGUCAGGGAGGCCGUGGUCCUGGCAGACGGCCACCACGACCGCCACUGCUCCUGCCUUGCUCGCCUGCCCGCCUAGGCUGCCUGUACCAGGGGAAGGACUUUGCCAGCGGGGAGCGUUUCCCUUCGCCCACUGCCUCGUGCCACGUCUGCCUCUGCUGGGAGGGCAGCGUCAGCUGCGAGCCCAGGGCCUGCGCACCUGCUCAGUGCCCCUUCCCCACCCGGGGUGACUGCUGCCCUGCCUGUGAUGGUGAGGGGCAGGGGACUGUGGGGAUGAGGGGCUGGGAAGGCCAGGUCAGCGUCAUCUUUACUGCCCUAGAGUGAGUCCCCAACAUCUGUCACCGUAACAGAAAACACUG